UUAAAAUAUUAAGGGCACACGAAGGAUGCCUAGGUAGUAAGAGCCGAUGAAGGACGUGGUAAGCUGCGAUAAGUCUGGUCAAGUUGCAAUCGAACGUUGACGCCAGAAUUUCCCAAUGGAGCAAUCUGCUAAGAUGGAGUCUUAGCACGAAAGAGGGUACCGGUUGAACUGAAACAUCUAAGUAAACCGAGGAAAAGAAAGUAAAAACGAUUCCCCAAGUAGCGGCGAGCGAACGGGGAUGAGCCCAAACCAUACAAAUGCCAAGGAUGCAGCCGUUGUUUGUAUGGGGUAGCGGGAACGCACUCUGAAGAUCUGCAAGGUAUUCAGCACGAGUCUUUAACGAACUGGAAUAGUCCUGGGAAGGCUAACCGUAGAAUGUGAUAGUCAUGUACAGGUAAGUUUAAAAGAUAGUGUAGAGCGUAUCCCAAGUAGCACGGAACACGAGAAAUUCUGUGUGAAUCAGCGAGGACCAAAUCUCGUAAGGCUAAAUACUCUUACUAACCGAUAGCGCAUAGUACCGUGAGGGAAAGGUGAAAAGAACCCCGGGAGGGGAGUGAAAUAGAACCUGAAACCGUGUGCCUACAACCGCUCAGAGCCCCUUAUGAGGGUGAUGAGGUGCUUUUUGUAGAACGAGCCAACGAGUUACGGUAUGUAGCAAGGUUAAGUACUUAAGGUACGGAGCCGAAGGGAAACCGAGUCUGAAUAGGGCGACAUAGUCGCUGGGCGUAGACGCGAAACCUGGUGAUCUAUACCUGUCCAGGAUGAAGCUGUGGUAAGACACAGUGGAGGUCCGAACUCACCGCCGUUGAAAAGUUGGGAGAUGAGGUAGGUAUAGGGGUGAAAAGCCAAUCGAACCAGGAGAUAGCUCGUUCUCUCCGAAAUGCAUUUAGGUGCAGCCUUGAACGUUUAAUUAUGGGGGUAGAGCACUGACUGGCCUAGGGGGCAUACUGCUUACUGAAGUCAAUCAAACUCCGAAUACCAUAAUUCCAAGUUCAGGAGUGAGACUAUGGGAAUUAACUUCCAUGGUCAAAAGGGAAACAACCCAGACCACCAGCUAAGGUCCCUAAUUAUAUCUCAGUGGGAAAGGAGGUGGAGAUUCACAAACAACCAGGAGGUUGGCUUAGAAGCAGCCAUACCUUUAAAGAGUGCGUAAUAGCUCACUGGUCGAGAGUCUCUGCGCCGACAAUGUAACGGGGCUAAGAUAUAAACCGAAGCUGUGGAAUUUUCGAUUAAAUUCGAGGAUUGGUAGGAGAGCGUUCUGUAGGCCGAUGAAGGAGAAUCGUAAGAGACUCUGGAGGUAUCAGAAGUGAGAAUGCAGGAAUAAGUAGCGAGAAAGGAAGUGAGAAUCUUCCUCGCCGGAAGACCAAGGUUUUCAGGGUAAAGCUUGUCUUCCCUGAGUAAGCCGGGACCUAAGCUGAGGCUAUAAUGCGUAGGCGAAUGGAAAACAGAUUAAUAUUUCUGUGCCACUUAUAUUUUGUGAAGUAGGGACGCAGAAGGGUAUGUACGCUGGAGAACGGUAGUUCCAGUGUAAGCAUGUAGUAUGGACUAGUAGGCAAAUCCGCUAGUUUAGAUAUGAGGUGUGAUACGGAGUCUUAGGAUGAAGGUACAAAUCCCACGCUGCCAAGAAAAGCUGCUAACGUUAAGGUAUAAGUGCCCGUACUGUAAACCGACACAGGUGGUCAGGAUGAGAAAUCUAAGGCGGACAGGCUAACUCUCGUUAAGGAACUCUGCAAAAUGGCCCCGUAACUUCGGGAGAAGGGGUGCCCGCUGAUGUCAGUAUUCACGCAAUACAAAGCAUCGGUGGGCCGCAGUGAAGAGGCUCAAGCGACUGUUUAACAAAAACACAGGUCUAUGCUAAGCUGUAAGGCGAUGUAUAUGGGCUGACACCUGCCCAGUGCCGGAAGGUUAAGAGGAGGAGUGAGAGCUCCGAAUUGAAGCCCCGGUGAACGGCGGCCGUAACUAUAACGGUCCUAAGGUAGCGAAAUUCCUUGUCGGGUAAG
This 2000-nucleotide ribosomal RNA is filed under the name metagenome. Its description in RNAcentral is "bacterial LSU rRNA". It matches the Rfam family "Bacterial large subunit ribosomal RNA", at positions 1 to 1980 of the family's 2925-position model. The record is from RNAcentral.